ACCCCCAGCUUAUGGAAUCGUAAGUAAGUGACACAAGCAGAAUCAACCUUUGGAAGAUCAUCUAUUUCCUGCUGGGUUGACUGGAAUGUGUGAUACGACCUAAGUAACUGACAGCCUGUGUGCAGAGUUCCUAAAUAACGAAGCCAGACCAUCAUUGCUAUGGGUGAAGCCAGGAAGUGACUGUGGAUGUGAACAAAUGUGAGAUUCAUGUACACGUCUCCAAAGACAGAGGCCACUGAUCUGGGGAGAACCUGCAGUCAUUUCACUUUCCCAUACCCAGAUGAGAGGACACCUUGAUCUGUGUUCAUCUGAUGAACUCUAAAAUCUGGACCAUAUUCUGAAGGCAAAUACCUAGGAGUGCAGUUACUGGGUCUUACAGGUGCUCGGGCUCACACCUGUAAUCUCAGCACUUUGAGAGACCAAGGAGGAAGGAUCACGUCCACCUGGAAAGCAUUAUAUUUAGCAAGAAUAAAGGAGGCUGUGAAUGAUGUCACUGCGGACUGCGUAUAUUCCCUGUUGCAAAUGUCAAAUCCAUGAAGCAAAAAGGGAUUUACUAGAGGUUAUUAAAUUCCUUACAAAUUGUUGAAAAGCCUUAAAAAACAGGCUCCAGUCAAAGCCUCUAGAACAAUUCCAAGAAUCGUACUGCUGGCACAGGUCGGGGGAGCUCCUCCUGCUGUCUGAGACUCCACAUUCAAGCUGUCUCUUGCAGCAGAAGAGAGAGCGGCUCUUCUCACUACUGCCCCCAGAAGGACAGCAGCUCUGGUAUCAACUGUCAACUGCUAGAAAUCUGACCCCUUUCUCUGACUGCCCAUCAGAUGUGUUACUACAGAGUCGUUUUGGAUUGAGAUGAAGGAGGGGAAAUGCCUGAUCUCACUCAAAUGUGCUCAUUUUCCUGGUCUGAGUCACAGCCAGGCAGCACAGUCCUGUGGGCACAAUAUCUUCACUUGCCAGGUUCCUAUAAAAUGGGAGUAUCUUUCUUGACUGUGGAAAAUAUGGAGACGAGGAAGGUCAAGCAAUAGCAAAAGGAGUACUUGGAGUUGCCUGAGCUUCCACUCUGGUUUCCCCAAAUGUUUUCAAUCCAUUUAAUUCAUGAUAAUAAACACCUUUCUGCCUAACCAGCCAUAAUCGCUUUUCUU
RNAcentral lists this long non-coding RNA (1136 nucleotides) under Homo sapiens (human). Its description in RNAcentral is "HSALNT0035563". The record is from RNAcentral. Lineage: Eukaryota; Metazoa; Chordata; Mammalia; Primates; Hominidae.